Equus asinus (donkey) is the source of this 105-nucleotide microRNA precursor. Lineage: Eukaryota; Metazoa; Chordata; Mammalia; Perissodactyla; Equidae. The record is from Ensembl.
UUUGGCACUCCUGGGGAAGGGAAGAGAGUGAGCUGGUGAGGGGAGCUGGAGCCCUGCUCCCUCUGGCUUCUGUUCCCUCAGGAAACUCUGCUGUCCUGGAUGAGA